ACCAAUCCCUUCAACCUCACGAGCAUAUCUUAGGGCUCUCAACCCAGAAGCUGACAGUGCCUCAAGAACUCUUGGAGGCUCCAGCUCCCCUCGAACUUUACGCUCUGUGGUCUUCAUUGGUUCUUCUGAUAUAUUACAAGGUUCAUCCUCUGUUAUCUCUUCUGGCGCUUCACAUUCUCCAUUUAAUAUUUCAUUAUCCACAGCAGGCUCGUUAGAUACCUCUUCUGCAGCAGAUCCUACAGCAUCUUUGUGAGAUAUCUUUUCUUCACAUUCUCCAUUUGAUUUUUCACUAUCAACAGCAGGCUUAUCAGAUACUUCUUCAACAGCAGAUCCAGAAGCAUCUUUAUCAGAUACCUUUUGUACAGAUUUUGUUCUUCUGAACAACCUUGCUUCAUG
Molecule: unclassified non-coding RNA, 396 nt
Filed under: Hevea brasiliensis (rubber tree)
Lineage: Eukaryota; Viridiplantae; Streptophyta; Magnoliopsida; Malpighiales; Euphorbiaceae
Source: RNAcentral